RNAcentral lists this ribosomal RNA (433 nucleotides) under uncultured bacterium. Its description in RNAcentral is "partial 16S ribosomal RNA". It matches the Rfam family "Bacterial small subunit ribosomal RNA", at positions 29 to 507 of the family's 1533-position model. The record is from RNAcentral.
AGCGAACGCUGGCGGCAGGCCUAACACAUGCAAGUCGAGCGGGCACUUCGGUGUCAGCGGCAGACGGGUGAGUAACACGUGGGAACGUACCCUUUGGUUCGGAAUAACGCUGGGAAACUAGCGCUAAUACCGGAUACGCCCUUUUGGGGAAAGGCUUGCUGCCGAAGGAUCGGCCCGCGUCUGAUUAGCUAGUUGGUGGGGUAAUGGCCUACCAAGGCGACGAUCAGUAGCUGGUCUGAGAGGAUGAUCAGCCACACUGGGACUGAGACACGGCCCAGACUCCUACGGGAGGCAGCAGUGGGGAAUAUUGGACAAUGGGCGCAGGCCUGAUCCAGCCAUGCCGCGUGAGUGAUGAAGGCCUUAGGGUUGUAAAGCUCUUUUGUCCGGGACGAUAAUGACGGUACCGGAAGAAUAAGCCCCGGCUAACUUCGUG